This 910-nucleotide long non-coding RNA is filed under the name Gossypium barbadense (sea-island cotton). RNAcentral's name for it is "long non-coding RNA (GBAR_LNC005353)". The record is from RNAcentral. Lineage: Eukaryota; Viridiplantae; Streptophyta; Magnoliopsida; Malvales; Malvaceae.
AGAAUACUGAAACCCUAGCUUCACAAUAAUGUUAUUUGCUUUGACGCCACUAACUCUUGGUUCGAGUAAAUUAACAAUAUCCUGCUUAUAGUCCAAGUUAUAUUUGAUAAAAAAUUUGAAAAAAUUUAAAGACUAGCACAACUCUGAAAAUUCCAUAAGAAAAUAGUAAAAUUCAUGAUUAAAAAAUUAAAAAUGUUGGAAACAUAACCUUACUAUUGAUGGACAGAAACCCCAUUCGAUUCUGAAACUGCUACUCAUUUCAUUUCAUUUUCUGUGUCAACAGUCAUCUGAGAAGAUAAUAGUUCUACUACUGCCUCCAUGGACUCAGCUAAGUGAAGCCGAUAAUUUCUAAAAGAUUUAAAAUGGCUUCCCCGUCCCUUUAAACCGCUGGUCGAUUUUCAACCACCACGGAUUACAUUAAAUUUGCCAAUAGUGCUCUUAUUUUUAGCGUUUGAAGAAGAAAUUCCUGUAGUCUCUGUGUUAUACCUGACAGCAAACCCGGAUGAAUUUUGUUGAGAAUUAUCUCUAAAAAUCACUGCAGAAUUCUUACCUGGGUCCAGGACGCCUCCGGUCAACUGGGCUAUAUCGCCUUUAGGUCCUUCAAAAGUUGGAUUAAAAUGGGUCUUAACACCAUCAAUUUGUUCAGUUGGCAUGAGAGCCUAUUUACCCGAUAGUGAAUUACUUGGAACAGAAAAAGAGAAAGGUACGUUGCAUUCAAAAUUAAUAGGAGGGUUAAAAGAAAUUUGACUAAUAAUUCCAUGAGAUUCUAGCACAACAGCUUCUCCAAUGUAUGCAAGGUCGUUUAAAACACCCCCAUUCUGCUCCGAAAACCCGUGGCCCCAAACCCCCUAGCUUUUUUAUUCCUAUAAGGCCUUCGAAAUAAUUUCGGCUGAAUUCUGAUUUGUUUGCG